Oncorhynchus keta (chum salmon) is the source of this 216-nucleotide long non-coding RNA. RefSeq lists it as uncharacterized. The record is from RefSeq and is a predicted model, not a curated record. The transcript is spliced from 3 exons. NCBI's taxonomy places the organism in Eukaryota, Metazoa, Chordata, Actinopteri, Salmoniformes, Salmonidae.
GAUUCUACCAGAUUGAUGAGAGGUUUUAUUCCCCCAGGCCAGGAUUCUACCAGAUUGAUGAGAGGUUUUAUUCUCCAGACCAGGAUUCUACCAGAUUGAUGAGAGGUAUUAUUCCCCCAGGCCAGGAUUCUACCAGAUUGAUGAGAGGUUUUAUUCUCCAGGCCAGGAUUCUACCAGAUUGAUGAGAGGUUUUAUUCUCCAGACCAGGAUUCUACC